AUGCCAGAACAUUAUCUGUAAGCCACAGCCUCAUUGUGAUACAUAGAUUAAUAGGAAUGGCUUUAUUUAAGACAUAAGAGCUAGCUAGGAACACGCCUAUGUCAUUGGCUAAGCAGUGUGGUAAUUAAUAUAGUAUUAUUCAGGUCUGGGUAGCCAGAAAAUAAAAGCACAUUCUAGUUUACAUGGAUUGCUAGAAUGGUUUCCAGGCUAUGACGCUGCUAGUCCAACAAUGGCUGUCUUCAGGCAGAAGACCAAGAAUCCAGCAGCUGCUCAGCCAUGAAACUGGAUGUCUUGGCUGCCCUCAGUCUCCAUAGCAGGACAAAGAGUGGCACCGAGAGUGAAGGCAAGCAGCAUGCAGGGUCUCUUCACUCAGUCACCCUACUUGCUUGCUCCAAGACACCUCAGUCCGUCAGAGUCACGGGGAAGAGAUUCCCUGGCAAAAUCUGGAUGCCUAUCCUAAAGCUGAGAGGCUUGGGGCCUCAGUUGUCCAAGAAUAUUUAAACUGCAGAGAACGCUUUCUCACAAUAUUGAGUCCUCACCAGUCCUCUCUAAAGCUUAGUAAGUAUGCAUCUCUGAGCCUGGAAUUUGGAAAAUCUGCUUCAAGUCCAAGUGUGAGAAUUGGGAAUCUGUAUUCUUAUUUUUCACCAACAUAAUAAUUUUAUUAAUUACUUGGGAAUUUUAUACAGUGCACACUGAUCAUACUUGCUUCCAAUUCCUCUCAGGUCUAAUCUCCUACCCUUGUGCCCUCCCCUCAAAAAGAAAAAAAAAGGCUGUAAGUUCAAUUUGUGUUGUGCAGGGUCCAGUCUACCCUUGCACCUUAGGGUGCAUCUUGAGGAGAGUUUCUGGUCAGCCAGCUAAAGCAUCCUGUUUGUUCCUGUGCUCCCUCUGCCUUAGCCUGGUGAUUAGCUAAAGAGCAUUGUUUCAUCUUUGGUAUGGUAAUUUCCCAUCUGCCUGGGAGGAAAUCCUUAUGCAACAGCCAGGUAUAAUACGUUUUCCCUUAGACUGAAUAAAUGGCAUUCGGCUGAUCUCCUUUCGAAUGACCCAGGUCUCUUGUGUGUUUCUUUCAAUCUCCAGGCGUUUGCCUGGACUCGCGAUUGGUACAGAGGCGUGUGAACUGUACCGAGGGGGUAACGCAGAAUCGAGUGUUACAAUUGGAGGCCCCGCUGGGAUCAUCAGCAGCUACAGUUGGAGACCCAUCUGCUGAGACCCAUCGGCGAGAUCAGGAAGUAGAGAUCCCUGAGAGGUUGCCCUUGGAAUGCUGGCCAGCAGAACUCAACCUUACACCCAGUGACUGGAUGCAGCCUUGCAGGGCUUGUCUUUCGGGGCGAGAUUAUUUGUUAUGGAGAGGUGAUAUACAAAAAAAUUACAAAAAGACUACACGGAAUAAUGCCGGCCAUUAAAGCUUGAAAAACUUCUAACAAAGGAGCAGGAAAACAGCUUUUUAAGACCCUUCAAGAAUCUUCAAAACCUUAUUCUAAGUUUAUUGAUCGCCUUCUACAGGAUGCUGACAAUCCAAUUUGGGUACCUGAGCAUCUGGUGCAUGCUGUGGAUUUUCCUGUCCAGAAGCCUAAAGACAGGACAAAACCAAGAGAUCCAGCAGACACUGGCUUGUCAACUAAAGAGUUGCUGGGUUCCUGAGGAGCUGGCUGUGGUGGUCCGAGUGCCAAGGAUUGUUCCUUUACCUAUCUACCCUUCCCAUGAUAUUGGCAGCCAUUGCUGUGGCUUCCAGAGCAGCUAAUGCUGCUGGAUUUUCCUUUAAUCAGUUAGUUGCUUCUGCUAAUAAAAUGGAUACCUUCUCAGGGCAGGUUACAAAUGCGUUGGCCGUUCAAAUUAAGCUAAAUUUACAAUUAAAUA
Molecule: non-coding RNA, 1854 nt
Organism: Myodes glareolus (Bank vole)
Lineage: Eukaryota; Metazoa; Chordata; Mammalia; Rodentia; Cricetidae
Source: RefSeq, a predicted model, not a curated record